AACCCGUGGUGAGGACAUUCUCUCUGGUAGCCCUUGAAACGUUCCCAUGAAGCCUUGAAUGCUUCAGUUGGACCCUGAAUGAAUGUUGAGAUCUUAGCUCGCAGAU
Molecule: non-coding RNA, 106 nt
Organism: Arabis alpina (gray rockcress)
Lineage: Eukaryota; Viridiplantae; Streptophyta; Magnoliopsida; Brassicales; Brassicaceae
Source: Rfam